UGAUACUGUAAUUGGAGCUAAGGCGUUG
Molecule: non-coding RNA, 28 nt
Filed under: Bombyx mori (domestic silkworm)
Lineage: Eukaryota; Metazoa; Arthropoda; Insecta; Lepidoptera; Bombycidae
Source: RNAcentral